GAGACAUUAGUAAAAUAUGAACAUUACAUCACCUUGUCAAGGUGUAAUUGUUGGUUAAAUCCCAGCAUGUCUUA
This 74-nucleotide transfer RNA is filed under the name Chrosomus tennesseensis (Tennessee dace). RNAcentral describes it as "tRNA-Asp". It matches the Rfam family "tRNA". From Rfam's summary of the family: Transfer RNA (tRNA) molecules are approximately 80 nucleotides in length. Lineage: Eukaryota; Metazoa; Chordata; Actinopteri; Cypriniformes; Leuciscidae. The record is from RNAcentral.